RNAcentral lists this long non-coding RNA (297 nucleotides) under Elaeis guineensis (African oil palm). Its description in RNAcentral is "long non-coding RNA (EGUI_LNC073400)". The record is from RNAcentral. Lineage: Eukaryota; Viridiplantae; Streptophyta; Magnoliopsida; Arecales; Arecaceae.
GACUCCCUGGGUGUCUUCUUCGAUAAAGGUUAUGGGUUCUUCAACCUUUUGCCGCUUGGGGGAUACAGACGGUAUGUUGGUUGCCUCCCGCCGGGAUCCCCCCAAAAUGGUGUUGACGGAAUCCGAUAGAGGCCGAUCGUCCGGCCACUCCUUGUCGGCGACCAUAGCCGGAGGUAGUUGUGCGAAUGCCUCGCGAGAAGGUAUCAGAUGAGGAAAGGAGGAGUGGGUGCCGGAUAGGAUGACCGGAAGUGGAUCUGUUGAGCGCUCCUUUAAGAACAAGGGUAUUGCGAAGACACA